AGAGUUUGAUCCUGGCUCAGAACGAACGUUAGCGGCGCGCUUAACACAUGCAAGUCGAACGAUAAGCCCUUCGGGGUGGAAAGUGGCGCACGGGUGAGUAACACGUAGGUAAUCUACCCCUGAGUGGUGGAUAACGUUCCGAAAGGGACGCUAAUACAGCAUAACACCACGGCUCUUCGGAGUUUUGGCCAAAGUGGGGGAUCUUCGGACCUCAUGCUUAGGGACGAGCCUGCGGCCCAUCAGUUAGUUGGUAGUGUAAUGGACUACCAAGGCAAAGACGGGUAGCUGGUCUGAGAGGAUGAACAGCCACACUGGAACUGAGACACGGUCCAGACUCCUACGGGAGGCAGCAGUGGGGAAUCUUGCGCAAUGGGCGAAAGCCUGACGCAGCGACGCCGCGUGAGCGAUGAAGGCCCUCGGGUUGUAAAGCUCUGUGGAUGGAGACGAAUAAGUACUAGUUAACACCUAGUGCGAUGACGGUAUCCAUUUAGCAAGCACCGGCUAACUCUGUGCCAGCAGCCGCGGUAAGACAGAGGGUGCAAACGUUGUUCGGAAUUACUGGGCGUAAAGCGCGUGUAGGCGGCAUCGUAAGUCGGAUGUGAAAUCCCGCGGCUCAACCGUGGAAGUGCACCCGAAACUGCGGAGCUAGAGUCCCGGAGAGGAAGGUGGAAUGCUAGGUGUAGAGGUGAAAUUCGUAGAUAUCUAGCGGAACACCGGUGGCGAAGGCGGCCUUCUGGACGGUGACUGACGCUGAGACGCGAAAGCGUGGGUAGCAAACAGGAUUAGAUACCCUGGGUAGUCCACGCCGUAAACGAUGAGUGCUAGGUGUCAGAGGCUUUGACCCUUUCUGGUGCCGAAGCUAACGCGUUAAGCACUCCGCCUGGGGGAGUACGGCCGCAAUGCUAAACUCAAAUGAAUUGACG
RNAcentral lists this ribosomal RNA (923 nucleotides) under uncultured bacterium. Its description in RNAcentral is "bacterial SSU rRNA". It matches the Rfam family "Bacterial small subunit ribosomal RNA", at positions 8 to 915 of the family's 1533-position model. The record is from RNAcentral.